Vespula pensylvanica (western yellowjacket) is the source of this 1217-nucleotide long non-coding RNA. RefSeq lists it as uncharacterized. The transcript has 3 exons. The record is from RefSeq and is a predicted model, not a curated record. NCBI's taxonomy places the organism in Eukaryota, Metazoa, Arthropoda, Insecta, Hymenoptera, Vespidae.
GUUUGUGAUUAAUUCGGCUGUCUGGUCCAGCAUACGUAUCUAUCGAUUGUUGUGAAAAUGGGAUACCAAGAUGCUAGCUGUUUCUUUUUCCAAUAAUACGUAAGGAAUACAUGUACUUUCCUUCUAUGAUUAUAUCAUCCAUAAAGAUUACGACAUAGUGAAUCAAGUGACACGGGUAACGAUCAUAUUGAUCAAAAUUUUAUACACUAUUCUACGUUCCUCUUCGGUAAUAAUUCAUUCUAAAAAUUCUAUAAAAAUCCUUUGUCUCUGAUUCCCCUUGAUAUUUGGUAACAGAGAGAUAUUUGCCGUGAAAAUUGAUAUUUGAAGAAAAAGAAAUGAAAAUUAAUGCGAACAUUUUCCAUCUCGAUGAAUUAAUUAAAAGUGUCAAUCUCUCGUUCGCUUCCUUAUCCGAGUUCGACUUUUCCAACUUUCUUUUUUUCUUCUUGAUAGACACAGUUCAAAUAGAAAUUAUCAUUCUUCUUUUUUCUUUUUAUUUUUUUUUGCCGUCACCGUACUCAAGUAAAGUCGGUUUCGGAAAACCGGGUCAUCCUUAAAUAGUACUUCACUCUUGAGAUGUCAGUGUUGCGUAAUAUCCAAAGUACCAGUUAAACCCUAAAUAUUUACAUGCCUCAAAGAAGGCCUUUCCUCGUCGAAGUUUUCCUCUUCUUACCUCCGCGUAGACUCUUAUCUCCAUGUUCUGGAACUCGAAGACGAGAAGACCGAUCCGACAGUCAAACUCGAGCGUGUAUUAAACUUUCAUUUCUUAGAAUGCUUCCUUCCACAUGCUAUUUUACUCCGAACGAAAGAAAAUACCCGCGUCUUGUCGUUUUCAGAAGGAUACGAUUUCGCUGAAUCACAAGGUUCAGUUAUGUAGAGUCGGAGCAAACUUUCAGCUUUUUGCUAUGUUAAAAAGCGUUGAAACCGAACUACAUUUUCAUUUGAACGAACCAACAAGGAAAUGCUCUCUUCUCCCUUAAUUCAUUAAACCACCGGACCUCGAGAUUGAGUAGAGUUCAAAGCAAAUCCAUCAAGUUAGAAAGCAAGGAAAGCGCCCUUUCGACGGAACAGCGCCAAACCUGUGACAUGUCAUGAAGUUACUUAAACGGGAUUCGUAGGUACCAAGGUCAUGUCAUCGUCUUUCUCGUCGCCUUUGUCAGUGGUAGCGUUGGUCUACGAAUCGAAGAAGAGCACCGGCCGUUGGUGGUUUCGAGGGUGUU